UACGUAGGGGGCAAGCGUUGUCCGGAUUUAUUGGGCGUAAAGAGCGUGUAGGCGGCCUGAAAGGUCAGCUGUGAAAACUCGAGGCUCAACCUCGAGACGUCGGUUGAAUCCAUCUGGCUAGAGUCCGGAAGAGGAGUGUGGAAUUCCCGGUGUAGCGGUGAAAUGCGCAGAUAUCGGGAAGAACACCCGUGGCGAAGGCGGCACUCUGGGACGGUACUGACGCUGAGACGCGAAAGCGUGGGGAGCGAACAGG
RNAcentral lists this ribosomal RNA (253 nucleotides) under uncultured bacterium. RNAcentral's name for it is "partial 16S ribosomal RNA". It matches the Rfam family "Bacterial small subunit ribosomal RNA", at positions 524 to 776 of the family's 1533-position model. The record is from RNAcentral.